Molecule: long non-coding RNA, 221 nt
Filed under: Homo sapiens (human)
Lineage: Eukaryota; Metazoa; Chordata; Mammalia; Primates; Hominidae
Description: HSALNT0049109
Source: RNAcentral
GCUUCCCUCUGCAUGUCAGGCAGGGCCAUGGCCUUCCAGGAGAGCUACAGCAGCAGUCUGCCUUCCGGGGCUGUGCCCUCUGGAUUUCUGGUGGCUCUCAUUUCUCUGUUUCCAGGCUGCUGAUUUAUUUUCUUGCUUCAUCCCUUUGGUCCGGCCAAGACUCACCUGGGGCACCAGGUGGCAUGUGCGUGGACAGUGUGGAGUCAUAUCUUAGCCACAGU